Molecule: long non-coding RNA, 558 nt
Filed under: Carica papaya (papaya)
Lineage: Eukaryota; Viridiplantae; Streptophyta; Magnoliopsida; Brassicales; Caricaceae
Description: long non-coding RNA (CPAP_LNC016497)
Source: RNAcentral
UUAUUCCUAAGGUGGAGGGACCGACAAGCAUCAAGGGUUUUAGACCUAUCCGCUUAGUUGAGAGUAUGUAUAAACUCAUUGCCAAAAAGUGUUGGUAAAGAGAAUGGCUAAGGUAAUUAUGAAGGUGGUGGGAGAUAGUGAGCACACAAUGAAGGUAACUCAUUUAUUUUUGUUGGUGAUACUUUGUUGUUUUGUGAACCAAAUGAAAAGACUCUACUUAAUUUCAUAUGCAUGUUCUUGAGUUUCUAAGCGGUUUCUGACCUCAACAUUGACUUUCCCAAGUCCGAAUUGAUGAAAUUGAGUGAUGGGAGGGAUACUAACAGGUUGGCUAGGAUUCUAGGGCUCCUAUUAGGUGCUAAAUAUAAAGAUGUUGCCACUUAGGACCUUGUAGUGACGAGGUUUGAACAAAGGUUGGUGGGGUGUAAAAGGAACUUUUUUAUUUAAAAUGGGAAGAGUUACACUUAGGACCUUGUAGUGACGAGGUUUGAACAAAGGUUGGUGGGGUGUAAAAGGAACUUUUUUAUUUAAAAUGGGAAGAGUUACACUUAUCAGGAGCAC